Molecule: RNase P RNA, 422 nt
Filed under: Clostridia bacterium
Lineage: Bacteria; Bacillati; Bacillota; Clostridia
Description: RNase P RNA component class A
Rfam family: Bacterial RNase P class A
About the family: Ribonuclease P (RNase P) is a ubiquitous endoribonuclease, found in archaea, bacteria and eukarya as well as chloroplasts and mitochondria.
Source: RNAcentral
AGAGUAAAUUGAAUAGUCGCGUAUAGCAAGGUCGAAAGGCAGCGUACGAGGAAAGUCCGGGCUCCAAAGAGCAAUAAUGCUGGAUAACGUCCAGUGAGGGAAACCUUAAGGAAAGUGCAACAGAAAAUAACCGCCAUGCUAGAGGUUAGCAGUUAGGAAUUAGUGUAAUUUUGAUUUCUAAAUCUCUAACCUCUAACUUCUAACUUUUAGCAAUGGUAAGGGUGAAAAGGUGAGGUAAGAGCUUACCGCUAGAAAUGGUGACAUUUCUGGGUCAAUGUAAACCCCAUUUGGAGCAACACCGAAACUGAAAAUUAAGGCUGCUCGCCGUUUUCUAAGAGGGUGGCUUGAGACAUAUAGUAAUAUAUGUACUAGAUAAAUGACUAUUUGAAAAACAGAACCCGGCUUAUAGGUUUACUUUUUUU